CAGCCGCCACGGUAAUACGAAGGGUGCAAGCGUUAAUCGGAAUUACUGGGCGUAAAGCGUGCGUAGGCGGUGAGUUAAGUCUGCUGUGAAAUCCCCGGGCUCAACCUGGGAAUGGCAGUGGAUACUGGCUCGCUAGAGUGUGUCAGAGGAUGGUGGAAUUCCCGGUGUAGCGGUGAAAUGCGUAGAGAUCGGGAGGAACAUCAGUGGCGAAGGCGGCCAUCUGGGACAACACUGACGCUGAGGCACGAAAGCGUGGGGAGCAAACAGGAUUAGAUACCCCCGGUCCCUGUCUCUUAUACAC
Molecule: ribosomal RNA, 301 nt
Filed under: uncultured bacterium
Lineage: Bacteria
Description: partial 16S ribosomal RNA
Rfam family: Bacterial small subunit ribosomal RNA
Source: RNAcentral